GACGAACGCUGGCGGCGUGCCUAAUACAUGCAAGUAGGACGCACAGUUUAUACCGUAGCUUGCUACACCAUAGACUGUGAGUUGCGAACGGGUGAGUAACGCGUAGGUAACCUGCCUAUUAGAGGGGGAUAACUAUUGGAAACGAUAGCUAAUACCGCAUAACAGUAUGUAACACAUGUUAGAUGCUUGAAAGAUGCAAUUGCAUCGCUAGUAGAUGGACCUGCGUUGUAUUAGCUAGUAGGUAGGGUAAUGGCCUACCUAGGCGACGAUACAUAGCCGACCUGAGAGGGUGAUCGGCCACACUGGGACUGAGACACGGCCCAGACUCCUACGGGAGGCAGCAGUAGGGAAUCUUCGGCAAUGGGGGGAACCCUGACCGAGCAACGCCGCGUGAGUGAAGAAGGUUUUCGGAUCGUAAAGCUCUGUUGUUAAGGAAGAACGAGUGUGAGAAUGGAAAGUUCAUACUGGGACGGUACUAACCAAAA
Molecule: ribosomal RNA, 485 nt
Filed under: Streptococcus anginosus
Lineage: Bacteria; Bacillati; Bacillota; Bacilli; Lactobacillales; Streptococcaceae
Description: bacterial SSU rRNA
Rfam family: Bacterial small subunit ribosomal RNA
Source: RNAcentral